This 5267-nucleotide long non-coding RNA is filed under the name Salmo salar (Atlantic salmon). Its description in RNAcentral is "lncRNA (ENSSSAG00000108528.1)". The record is from RNAcentral. Lineage: Eukaryota; Metazoa; Chordata; Actinopteri; Salmoniformes; Salmonidae.
AAAUACAAUAUCUGUUUGAGUUUGCUCUAGGAUGCAAUAGGGAUGCUAGAAUGCUCUCAUAUGAACUAAAAUGGAGUAGGGACGGGUACUGGUACUGCGUUUUCUUUCGCCUUCUGUACUGAGUGGUGUAGCGUGAUGACAUCAUUGGAAAAGUUUGCAUCGGAAAUGGGAGCGUAACUGGGAACGAAGUUGAGCGGAAGCGUAGUUCUUCGGCUGGAGGCACCAGCGAAGCGCUCACAGCCAUGUGGUAAUCUUAGGUUUUAUUACAUACAGUCGGGAGGAACUAUUGGAUAUAAGAGCAACGUCAACUCACCAACAUUACGACCAGGAAUACGACUUUCCCGAAGCGGAUCCUCUGUUUGCUCCACCGCCCAGGACAAUGGAUCGGAUCCCAGCCGGCGACCCAAAACAACGAUGCCGUAGAAGGGGCAGACGGAGCGGUCUUCUGGUCAGGCUCCGUAGACGGGCGCACCGUUCCCGAGCAUACUACUCGCCAAUUUCCAGUCUCUUGACAACAAGGUAGACAAAAUCCGUGCAAUCUGUUCAAUCAAUCCUUAUCCCAGUCUGCUGUUCCCACAUGCUUCAAUAGGGCCACCAUUGUUCCUGUUCCCAAGAAAGCUAAGGUAACUGAGCUAAAUGACUACCGCCCCGUAGCACUCACUUCCGUCAUCAUGAAGUGCUUUGACAGACUAGUCAAGGACCAUAUUACCUCCACCGUACCUGACACCCUAGACCCACUCCAAUUUGCUUACCGCCCCAAUAGGUCCACAGACGACGCAAUCGCAAUCACACUGCACACUGCCCUAACCCAUCUGGACAAGAGGAAUACCUAUGUGAGAAUGGUGUUCAUCGACUACAGCUCAGCAUUUAACACCAUAGUACCCUCCAAACUCGAGACCCUGGGUCUCGACCCCGCCCUGUGCAACUGGGUCGUGGACUUCCUGACAGGCAGCCCCCAGGUGGUGAGGGUAGGUAACAACAUCUCCACCCCGCUGAUCCUCAACACUGGGGCCCCACAAGGGUGCGUUCUCAGCCCUCUCCUGUACUCCCUGUUCACUCACGACUGCGUGGCCAUGCACGCCUCCAACUCAAUCAUCAAGUUUGCAGACGACACUACAGUGGUAGGCUUGAUUACCAACAACGACGAGACGGCCUACAGGGAGGAGGUGACGGCCCUUGGAGUGUGGUGUCAGGAAAAAGCCUCACACUCAACAUCAACAAAACAAAGGAGAUGAUCGUGGACUUCAGGAAACAGCAGAGAGAGCACCCCCUAUCCACAUCAAUGGGAAGUUUUAAGUUCCUCGGCGUACACAUCACGGACAAACUGAAAUGGUCCAACCACACAGACAGCGUGUUAAAGAAGGUGCAGCAGCGCCUCUUCAACCUCAGGAGGCUGAAGAAAUUCGGCUUGUCACCAAAAACACUCAAACUUUUACAGAUACACAAUCGAGAGCAUCCUGUCGGGCUGUAUCACCGCCUGAUACGGUAACUGCUCCGCCCAUAACCGUAAGGCUCUCCAGAGGGUAGUGAAUUCUGCACAACGCAUCACCGGGGGCAAACUACCUGCCCUCCAGGACACCUACACCACCCGAUGUCACAGGAAGGCCAAAAAGAUCAUCAAGGACAACAACCACCCGAGCCACUGCCUGUUCACCCCGCUAUCAUCCAGAAGGCGAGGUCAGUACAGGUGCAUCAAAGCUGGGACCGAGAGACUGAAAAACAGCUUCUAUCUCAAGGCCAUCAGACUGUUAAACAGCCAUUACUAACAUUAAGUGGCUGCUGCCAACAUACUGACUCAACUCCAGCCACUUUAGUAAUGGAAAAAUGUAUGUAAUAAAUGUAUCACUAGCCACUUUAAACAAUGGCACUUUUAUAUCAUAUCUUACAUUACUCAUCUCAUAUGUAUAUACUGUACUCUAUACCAUCCACUGCAUCUUGCCUAUGCCGUUCUAUACCAUCACUCAUUCAUAUGUAUUUUUAUGUACAUAUUCUUAUUCAUUCCUUUACACUUGUGUGUAUAAGGUAAUUGUUGUGAAAUUGUUAGGUUAGAUUACUCGUUGGAUAUUACUGCAUUGUCGGAACUAGAAGCACAAGAAUUUCGCUACACUCGCAUUAACAUCUGCUAACCAUGUGUAUGUGACAAAUACAAUUUGAUUUGAGUCCGUCAGAUCAGAGGAAAUAGUGAUGACCAGGCAUGUUCUCUUGAAUUUGACAUUUUUCCUGUCCUGCUAAGCAUUCAAAAUGUAAUGUAAGUACUUUUGGGUGUCAGGGAAAAUGUACGGAGUAAAAAGUACAUAAUUGUCUUUAGGAAUGUAGUGAAGUAAAAGUAAAAGUUGUCCAAAAGUACACCUAGGGGUGUUCUUGGGGAUCUAAGAAUUUCAAGAAUGAAACUGGGAGGAGUUGGUGGACAAGGUUGCGGCUUAAGGGGUCUAAAUGGCGGUGGUUGUUGCCACUGGUCAAAACAAAUCAUCAAAUCACAUUUUAUUAGUCACAUUCUUCAUAAACAGGAGGUGUAGACUAACAGUGAAAUGUUUACUUAUGGGCCCUUACCAACAACGCAGAGAGAAAAAUAAUAGAAAAAUAAUAAUACAAGGAAUAAAUACACAGCGAGUAAGUAUAAUUUGUCUAUAUACACAGGGUAACAGUACCGAGUCAUUGUGCAGGGGUAUGAGGUAAUUGAGGUAGAUAUGUACAUAUUGGUAGGGAUAAAGUGAAUAGGCAACAAGAUAGAUAAUAAAAAAUAACAGCAGCGUAUGUGAUGAGUAAAAAGAGUGCAAAAAGCAUCAGCUAUUUGGUUAACUAUUUAACUAGAGGUUAGAGUGUUGGGCCAGGAACCGAAAGGUCGCUGGUUUGAAUACCCGAGCCGACAAGGUGAAAAAUCUGUCCAUGUGUCUUUAAGCAAGGCACUUAACCCUAAUUUGCAUCAGUGGCGCUGUAAUACUAUGGCCGACCCUGUAAAACAACACAUUUCACUGCCAAUAGACAAUAAAACAUAUUAAAGCAACUGCAACAUUUUUUUUUGGGGGGGGUCUGGUCAACACUGGACAUGCCAGCAGUGUUUCACCAGCCUUUGCACAAGGCGGACAAGGGCUGGUGGACAUUGGGUCCAGAGUCACAGCUUUCUGCCUACAAGCUGCACAGAGCCUUUUUUACCAGCAGGGGGUGUGGUGAGACACAGCAUUGGCUGUUCUAAUGAGGUCAGGGGGCCUUGUAUUUGACAGGCACUUGUUUCUUUUGGAUGUGGAGCAGGUCGCUAUGUCAACCCUUAUGCCGUUCUACCGCGCUGUGCUUCGGGCAUGGAAAGAGACUCUUAACUGUUUACAGAGAUGUUUCACGGCCAGGAGCACGGCUAAUGGAGGAGCCACUGUUCUACAACCCACUCAUCCAGACCAGAGUGCUGACCUCUGCGAGAUUGCAAGCCAGACCUGUGAGAGCGGGGUUCACUAACUUGGGUGACCUGAGAGAGGAGGCUUCCUCCAUAAAGUUAUCCAGGCUGCUGCAGCAGGUGGUGGAGGGGGUCCAUGCUGCACUAGCGGGCUCCUUCAGAGAGCUGCUGGGAAACAGGCAGAGACUGGGCCGUUUAACCACUAAUUAAACUGAUCUGCUUCCUUUUACCACCUACCUCCUUUUUUCCCCAGCUGCUGCUGCUGCAGGGGAACACCAGGUGGGUGAGAAGAUUAUUUUAUCGUUCAGGACUGAGGGGAAUUUGUAUAGCCAGCAAAAAGGCUUUGUAUACGGUGGCUAUCAAGUUGGCUCAGAAGGACAAUUUGCAUGGGCUGAGAGAGCAACGGAGUGGCAGGGGGGUUUGGGACCGGGCACUUCUCUGAGAGGAUGUUGGCGCUCCCUGUAUAAGACUCCCAUAGAGAAGUGUAAAGCCGAUCUACAGGGGAGGAUUAUUCAGGAGUCUAUCGCUACGAACAGAUAUGUGACGGACCUUGAUUCAUCAGUGGGAAGGGGGUGUCCAGUCUGUGGGGAGGAGGAGACAGUGCAGCAUCUGUUUUCCUUUUGUUCAAGGCUGACAGGGCUGUUUUUGUCCUGGGGUGGUGGUGUACAGGGCUGACUUGGGACCUAUACAUUGGAGGGCCUAGGUUUAGUGUGGCUAACAGGCUAAGGGACUGCAAUGUAAACUACCUGUUGGGGCAGGCAAAAAUUGGCAGUGUGGAAGACCAGGAAGAAUGAGAUGAAGGGAGCGGGGUGUACGGACCCCAGAGCUAUGCUACUAGGGCUGGUGAACCAUCUGGGAUACUUUGUGGAGUUGUGGGGUGUCAGGGGGAUCUGUGUGCAGUGGACGAGGAGGGGUGGCUGGGUUUUAACUUUUUAGUACUGCUACAAUGUAGUAAAGAGUGUACUAAGGUGAUGUUAAUUAUUGAGCCGAUCAAGGUAUUUUUUUUUAUAAAAAAGUAUAUCUCUAUCCCUCCCUUCCUCCCUCCUUCUCCUGUCCUCCUCUCUCCCACCAUCCUUCACCUCCAUGGAUUGUCUCAGACGGUAAGCCUCAAACUGCAGUGAGGUUAUCACCAAAUGUGUAUUUUGCCUGGCAAGCAUUAUCCUAAAGGUUUCACACCCUUCCAUUUCACAGUGGAGACUUUAAGGAAUUACAAACAUGCAAUUGUCAACCCUAGUGCAGGAAAAAGAGGUGAUGGGACAGGUAGGGUGAAGAAACACUGACAAAACUAAGAUGAUGAGAUGUCGACAGCUAAAGAAGAGAUGAAAGAUUGAUAGACAAAGGAGACAAAGGUUCCUCACACUUACUUACAUAUAUGAUGGCAAGUACUCAAUUUCCAUGUCUGAAUUUCACCUUCAAAAGAGGAAACAAGAAAUACCAUUUAAUACAACUACACCAUUGUUUCAUGCAUGAAUGAAAACCCGUGAGGAAUGAUGGAAUGUGUCAACUCCGAUUUUAUCACAAAAUAAGUCACAAGCUCUCCUAACCACUGAGAUUGUGUGAAAUGUAUUUUGAAUGCGUUUCUAGCCUUUAUAGAAGGUUGUUUUUCAGAAUCAUAACAUGUUUAUUAAGUCUAGAAAUGCCUUAUUGGGUAGAAGGCACUAUAAAUGCAUUAAUGAUGCAUUAUGUACAGGUGGUUCAUAGAAAGUGUAACCAAUGUCCCAUUUCUUUAUUUGUUGAGUGCAUAUGUUUUCUUAUUUCUCCUGUUUUCUUUAUUAUAUACUCUAUUUUUUUAUUAGUUAUCCUAUUUUGAUAUUGAUUACUGCAAGUUAAGCAUUUCACUGUACUUGUGCAUGUGACAAUAAAAUUGAACUUGAACUCAGAA